This 69-nucleotide transfer RNA is filed under the name Triticum aestivum (bread wheat). It matches the Rfam family "tRNA". Rfam says of the family: Transfer RNA (tRNA) molecules are approximately 80 nucleotides in length. Their secondary structure includes four short double-helical elements and three loops (D, anti-codon, and T loops). Lineage: Eukaryota; Viridiplantae; Streptophyta; Magnoliopsida; Poales; Poaceae. The record is from Rfam by way of RNAcentral. RNAcentral also lists the same sequence under 1 other name.
UCCACUACUCGUUUGGUAGAGUAUAAAGCUCUUAACCUUAUGGACGUGGGUUCAAGCCCCAUGGUGGAG